This is a long non-coding RNA of Saccostrea cuccullata (small rock oyster), 338 nucleotides long. RefSeq lists it as uncharacterized. The record is from RefSeq and is a predicted model, not a curated record. The transcript is spliced from 5 exons. Lineage: Eukaryota; Metazoa; Mollusca; Bivalvia; Ostreida; Ostreidae.
GAAGAAAGAAAAAGAGAAGAAACUGUAAAUUACAAUGAGAUACUGGAUUUCAGUGACAAAGGGAAAAGCAAAUUGGAAAUAUUAAAGUUUAAUUACAGUUGGUCUGAGGAAGUGGAAAAACAAGAGAGAUUAGAGACAAUGGCGUUAGAAGAAAUAGAAAGAAGGAAGAUCAUGAAAGCUCUGAUGAGGAAGGUUCACCAAGAAUUGAUUGACACCAUUACCAGAAAGACAAACGAGAGGCUAAAAAUACGGUCCGCCAUGAUGAGGAAGAAAGAAGAAAUGGAGACAGUACAUGGAGAACUUAGGGACACUAUAGCCAGAAAAUUAAGGGAGAUGGA